AACGCACCUUGCGCCCCUUGGCUAUUCCGAGGGGCAUGCCUGUUUGAGUAUCAUGAACACCUCAACUCUCAUGGUUUGCCAUGAUGAGCUUGGACUCUGGGGGUUUUGCUGGCCUGUGGUCGGCUCCCCUCAAAUGAAUCAGCCUCCCAGUGUUUGGUGGCAUCACGGGUGUGAUAAAUAUCUACGCUCAUGGUCGUCUGCCAGGUAACCUUUGGUGACAAAGGUUUGCUGGAGCUCAUAGAUGUCUCUUCUCAGUGAGGACAGCUUUUUGAACGUUCGAUCUCAAAUCAGGUAGGACUACCCGCUGAACUUAA
This 314-nucleotide unclassified non-coding RNA is filed under the name Scytalidium sp. RNAcentral's name for it is "partial contains 5.8S ribosomal RNA, internal transcribed spacer 2, and large subunit ribosomal RNA". RNAcentral also lists the same sequence under 2 other names. Lineage: Eukaryota; Fungi; Ascomycota; Leotiomycetes. The record is from RNAcentral.